This 1254-nucleotide long non-coding RNA is filed under the name Heterocephalus glaber (naked mole-rat). RNAcentral's name for it is "lncRNA (ENSHGLG00000034433.1)". The record is from RNAcentral. Lineage: Eukaryota; Metazoa; Chordata; Mammalia; Rodentia; Bathyergidae.
GUAUUUUAUAAAAGGCUUUAAAUUUUUAAAUUUUAUGUACAAAAAUCUAGUAUGGUCUUUUCCUUUGGGUGGAUGUCUAGGAUGAUCCACUGGAGGAAGAUAACUUAAUACAACUUCCUUAUAUCCUUCAAGUACUGAUGGAAAACUCCUGGUCAUAUUUCUAAAUCAGACAGAUAGAUUUGAGCAAAUGCAGCAAGAGCAUGAACCCUGGUGAAAUUUUUCAACACAUAAUGCUGGGAGAACUGAGUAUCAACAUGCAGAGAAUGAAGUUGAACCCUUACUUCACACUAUGUGCAAAAAGUAACUCAUGUAGAUCAGUGACAUAAAGCAGGCGGCGAAUGCUUCUGUUUUUUGGAGGAGCUCCAGUUUUCACUUUCACCUUUGACAUCAUCUCCUGGCUUCCAGCACAGACUCUUCAGUUUCUGGCUUCUGGUGUAAACUCUUCAGCCUUCCAUUGCAGACACAUCAGCCUCCUGAUAUGGACUCGAAAGGGACAUUGCAGUGAGCUCCAGACCUUCGACUACAGAGCCAAGACUGCAGAAACACAAACACAGGCCUUCAUAAUUCUAUUGGCUGAACUACAACAUAAGCUUAACGCUCAGGCUCCAAAGUACCAGGGAUAGAACUGAGGACCUUGUGCUUUCGAGGCAGGUGGCGGUACCACUGAGCUAAAUCACUGGCCAUUUUUUUUUUUUCCAUUGUUUAUUGGUACAUUUUAGGUAUAAAAUACAGUUACAUUCAUCAUUGGGAUCUUGUAACUUUACAUGGUGUUCGUUGAUUCUUAUUUUUUUCUCCAUUCCCCUGCCCUCCCUUCACCCCCUCCACCCUUCCCUAUUUGCAAAGACUUUGUUUCCAUUUUUUUUUCUUUUCUCCUAUUUUUUCUUUUCCCUUCUUUCCUUUCUUUUUUUGGAGACAAGGUUUCACCAGGUAGUCCAGGCUGGCCUUGUGCAUCCCAGGCUGGACUUGUACUUACACUCUUCCUGCCUCAGCCUCUUGAGUGCUGGGAUUACAGUUGUGUGCCAUUCUGCUGAGCUCUACAUUGUGAUUUAAUACACUCAUGAAAUAUACUAUUUGAUAUGGUGAUGAUUUCUCAAUUAGUUUCAUAUUUGUAAAGCCAUAGGAAUGUAGUACGUAUUUAAUAUGAAGUUACACUUAAUAUAGACACCAUAUCAUAGUUACAAAAUCUAGGAGACUGAAAAUUCCUAACUUCCAUAUUGACAAAUUACCGACAAAUGUUUCAGACAAAUGGCCAAG